This 259-nucleotide long non-coding RNA is filed under the name Capsella rubella. RNAcentral describes it as "long non-coding RNA (CRUB_LNC003427)". Lineage: Eukaryota; Viridiplantae; Streptophyta; Magnoliopsida; Brassicales; Brassicaceae. The record is from RNAcentral.
AAGAGUCUUUCACACCGUUUUGUAGAAGAUCCACUAAAAAAGGGGGAAACAAUAUGCAUUUGUACAAGAGGUUAGUCAGCGACGGUGAAAAGUAAAAAACCGACGACGACAUGGAAAAGGAAUAUUACAUUUUUAGUAUAUUUACACAUGCAUUGUUCGAUUUUUUUUUUUUUUUUGUUGUUGUUGUUGUUGGUAAAGUGGAGCUUGGGAUGCUCCCUGGACGAGCAUCUAAUUCGCCUUCUAGCUUUUUUAAUGGAUA